CUCCUCCCUAUCCGUCUGGAAAAGUGGGAACUCCUUGACAUUUUGGUGGAAAGCAGGGGCAGAGACUGUAACAAGAAAGCCUUCAUUCUAGAAAGCAAACCUAGGGAACUCUUUUGGAAGAAGGAGGGGUAUUCCUUCACUCACUGAGUCAGCGGAUGGUCUGGAAACAAGAUGCUGAACAAGCCUGGAGGAGGAGGCAGCCUGACUCCUGUCUGCAGGCAGGAAAGGCUCCUCCCAGCUGAACCGCGGAGCCAGAAAUGGAGGAAGUCACGGCGACAAUAAGAGCAAAACGAUCCAGACAAAAUGUGUUACUAUUGCUGACCACUGAUGACACUUACACUGUCAACAACCCUACAGCAGGUCCCUGGCCAUACUCCAGCAACGUGGCAGCUCAGUUACUGCUCCCAAAAUGCCUCUGCAGCUGUCAACUCACCCCAAGGAUCUUUAUUUAUGGAACCAGGGUGCCUUCUUCAAGAAACAGAAAUGACGCUGUGUGCUGGCUGGGAAAGUUGCCUCCGGCUUCUUCUACCUUCAAGUCAGAGCCAACGGCACCUGGAGCAGGUAGAGCGAGCCAGCCAGUGAGCCUGGUGGUCAGAGCUACACUGACUUCUCCCGCAGUCUCCACAUGGCUGAGACCACAGCCCGGCUCCAGAGGUCAGCCACACAGGUCAGACUCUCCUGACUGGCUGUAUUUGGAUGAUGGAUGUGUUUUUAUGGCAUAAAAAACCAGUUGGCAUUUUCUCCUUCUGUAAACCAGAGCUGCUUCUAGAGAGGCUAGGAGGGAUAGGGGGAGAACACAUUCACAUUACCAGGGGGAGACCUCAGAACACAAUGACCAUGACCACAGAAGCUGCCAGACAUUAAAAUCUCAGUUUUGUCCUUCAGGAGGGGAUGCCCAGCUUCCAAGCCCCUGGUCUAUCUUUGGGGAAUUGUCUACUGUUGUAAGCUGAAGUGUACCCCCUGCCCACAAAAUUCAUAUGUCGAAGUCCUAACCCUCAGGACCUCAGAAUGGUAGGGUUCUCGGCUUAUCAAUUAGGGAAUACCAGAAAUGUCUGUCCAAGCAAUAUGGUUUGUGCUGACACCUGCUUUCCUCUUGCAUGUCUGGAAUUUUGGUAACACUAGGCAGAGGGUACCUAUGUAACUGACCCCUAAUAAAACCCCAGACUCCUGGGCUCA
This 1176-nucleotide long non-coding RNA is filed under the name Felis catus (domestic cat). Its description in RNAcentral is "lncRNA (ENSFCAG00000045210.2)". Lineage: Eukaryota; Metazoa; Chordata; Mammalia; Carnivora; Felidae. The record is from RNAcentral.